UUGGUUCUACCCGACGGCCGUGCGCCAACCUUUCGAGGAGGCAGCGGACCACGGUAGGAUCAGCGACUGGGGUGAAGUCGUAACAAGGUAGCCGUAGGGGAACCUGCGGCUGGAUCACCUCCUUUCUAAGG
RNAcentral lists this ribosomal RNA (131 nucleotides) under Sulfitobacter sp. HI0076. RNAcentral describes it as "partial 16S ribosomal RNA". It matches the Rfam family "Bacterial small subunit ribosomal RNA", at positions 1411 to 1533 of the family's 1533-position model. Lineage: Bacteria; Pseudomonadati; Pseudomonadota; Alphaproteobacteria; Rhodobacterales; Roseobacteraceae. The record is from RNAcentral.